GACGAACGCUGGCGGCGUGCUUAACACAUGCAAGUCGAACGGAAAGGCCCUGCUUUUGUGGGGUGCUCGAGUGGCGAACGGGUGAGUAACACGUGAGUAACCUGCCCUUGACUUUGGGAUAACUUCAGGAAACUGGGGCUAAUACCGGAUAGGAGCUCCUGCUGCAUGGUGGGGGUUGGAAAGUUUCGGCGGUUGGGGAUGGACUCGCGGCUUAUCAGCUUGUUGGUGGGGUAGUGGCUGACCAAGGCUUUGACGGGUAGCCGGCCUGAGAGGGUGACCGGCCACCUUGGGACUGAGGGACGGCGCAGACUCCAACGGGAGGCAGCAGGGGGGAGUAUUGCACAAUGGGCGGAAGCCUGAUGCAGAAACGCCGCGUGCGGGAUGACGGCCUUCGGGUUGUAAACAGCUUUCGCCUGUGACGAAGCGUGAGUGACGGUAAUGGGUAAAGAAGCACCGGCUAACUACGUG
This 468-nucleotide ribosomal RNA is filed under the name uncultured bacterium. RNAcentral's name for it is "partial 16S ribosomal RNA". It matches the Rfam family "Bacterial small subunit ribosomal RNA", at positions 28 to 507 of the family's 1533-position model. The record is from RNAcentral.